Molecule: ribosomal RNA, 995 nt
Filed under: uncultured Planctomycetota bacterium
Lineage: Bacteria; Pseudomonadati; Planctomycetota
Description: bacterial SSU rRNA
Rfam family: Bacterial small subunit ribosomal RNA
Source: RNAcentral
CAGCCGCCGCGGUAAUACGAAGGUGGCAAGCGUUGUUCGGAAUCACUGGGCUUAAAGAGCACGUAGGCGGCCUAUCAAGCGUCAGGUGAAAUCCCUCGGCUCAACCGAGGAAUUGCAAGGCGAACUGAUAGGCUUGAGGCAGGUAGGGGCACAUGGAACUCUUGGUGGAGCGGUGGAAUGCGUAGAUAUCAAGAGGAACGCCGGUGGCGAAAGCGGUGUGCUGGGCCUGACCUGACGCUGAGGUGCGAAAGCCAGGGGAGCGAACGGGAUUAGAUACCCCGGUAGUCCUGGCCCUAAACGAUGUCCACUAGGUCGGAGGCUCUCUGACGAAUUUCCGGCCGAAACAAAAGCGUUAAGUGGACCGCCUGGGGAGUACGGUCGCAAGGCUAAAACUCAAAGGAAUUGACGGGGGCUCACACAAGCGGUGGAGCAUGUUGCUUAAUUCGAUGCAACGCGAAGAACCUUAUCCUGGGCUUGACAUACUUGGAUGCCUACUGGGAAACCAGGUCGGCUGCUCUUCGGAGUGAAACUUGUACAGGUGCUGCAUGGCUGUCGUCAGCUCGUGUCGUGAGAUGUUGGGUUAAGUCCCGUAACGAGCGAAACCCUUGUCGCUAGUUGCCAGCGCGUAAUGGCGGGGACUCUAGCGAGACUGCCGGUGUUAAACCGGAGGAAGGUGGGGAUGACGUCAAGUCCUCAUGGCCUUUAUGCCCAGGGCUGCAAACGUGCUACAAUGGCCGAGACAAACCGACGCAAUACCGCGAGGUGGAGCAAAUCGGAUAAAGUCGGCCCCAGUUCGGAUUGGAGUCUGCAACUCGACUCCAUGAAGUCGGAAUCGCUAGUAAUCGUGUAUCAGCGCGACACGGUGAAUGUGUUCCUGAGCCUUGUACACACCGCCCGUCAAGUCAUGGAAGCCGGGAGCGCCCGAAGUCGGGGUAAUACUGCCCUGCCGAAGGUGAGCUCGGUGACUGGGACUAAGUCGUAACAAGGUAACCGUA